UACUUUGAAAACAUGAAGGUAUAUUUUAGAUAUCACUGUUUUGUUACAAUCGAUCCUAAUCGUGCAUCUAAUACUUAAAUUUCAUAUUCACAAAGGCAAUUAUUUAAAGCCCACCGCUUAUUUCAGAGAGCAAAUUUAUGUUCUCAGGUGAGUAUCCAAUUGUUAGAAACUACUUCCAAUAUUUAAUUACCAAUUGUGUUUUCUACUAGAAACAUGGGGUGCACUGGGAAACUGAGAAAUACUUCCCAGCAGCUACUCUAGCUGCCCUGGAGGGCCAAUCCAGAAUCACGACCCACACUGCUCCCGGGAAACUGAGAGAAAUACUUCCCAGCAGCUACUCUAGCUGCCCUGGAGGGACGAUCCAGAAUCACGACCCAUGCUGCUCCUUCAGCUCUGUGACUGUAUCAACAGUGUCCCAUUUUCUUUUCUUUUUUAUUUUUGUUGAGAUGGGGUCUCUCUCCGUCACCCAGGCUGGAGUGCGGUGGUGCACUGCAGGAGAAACCCACAGUGCUUCAUGAGCAUAUCUGGGCUCACUGCAGCCUCCACCUCCUGGGCUCAAGUGAUCCUCCCAACUGAGCCUCCUGAGUAGCUGGGAGUACAGGUGCACGCCACUGCGCCCGGCUAAUUUUUUAAAUUUGAGUAGAAGAUGAGGUCUCACUAUGUUGCCAAGGCAGUCUCAAACGACUGAGCUCAGGUGAUUCUCCCACCUCAGCCUCCCAAAGUGCUGGGAUUAUAGGCAUGAGCCAAAUCCCAAAUAAUUUCUAAUAAAAGUAAAAUGACAGCUUGGAUUUGGUCUACAAUAAACACCUCUUCUGCUUUCGUCACAAACGUGUAGCCCUUCUCCAGUGAGGGUCAGCCAGGCAUGUUAAUUCACAGGUGUGUGACACAGGCUGGCUCUUAGCCCCGCUGUGUCAGGGAGCAGGAUCUGCCCAACAAGACGCUGAGGCCACACAGCCCUCGGGAGAGCCUAGCCCCAUCAUGACACCUUCUGCUGAAGCUCCUUAGGUUCCAAUCAUUUCACUGUUCAGUGAGCCCUCUCUAGCCUCCGUGUCUUCCUCGGUGGCAAGAAGGAGGCCAACAGAGCACCCAGGACACAGGAUCACAGAGAAGGCUCUUCCAGCCACAAGUGAAGGCACCGCAGGGAAAAAUCCAUAUGCUCUGUGAGCACACGCAGGUGGAUGACCUAGAGAGCCAGGCCAAGGAGGGUCCACAAACAGGCCUUGCACACGUUCUGGGGUGGCGCAAACCAGUACAACCCUGUCUGAUAACUGCCUGGCAAGAUGUAUCAAGCGCCAUAGACAGUAUUUAGUUUCUUUAAUUCAAAAAUCCUACUUCUGAAACUUUAACCUAAGGAAACGAACCAUAAGAAAUUCCAGCCGGACGCAAUGGCUCACACCUGUCAUCCCAGCACUUUGGGAGUCGAGACAGGUGGAUCACUUGAGUCCAGGAGUUAGAAACCAGCCUGGGCAACAUAGCGAAAACCCAUCUCUACAGGGGGAAAAAAAAAACACAACGUAGCUGGGGCUGGGCGCAGUGGCUUACGACUGUCAUCCAGGCACUUUGGGAGGCUGAGGUGAGUGGAUCACCUGAGGUCAGGAGUUCAACACCAGCCUGGCCAACAUGGUGAAACCCUGUCUCUACUAAAAAUACAAAAAUUAGCUGGGCGUGGUACCACGCGCCUGUAAGCCCAGCUACUAGGGAGGCUAACGCAGGAGAAUCGCUUAAACAUGGCGGGCGGAGGUUGCAGUGGGCUGAGAUCGCGCCACUUCACUCCUGCCUGGGCAACGAAGAGUGAAACUCCAUCUCAAAACAAACAAACAAACAAACAAACAAACAAAAGCACUCUAGGUAUAAAAGGAACUUCCUCUGCCUGCAAGACCCCCCAUCUCCUUCCCAUGAAGUCCUUAACUUCUGUUCAACCCAAACGCCCAGCGCGUCCCUUCCACUGCGCUGCCCGAUGCACCUCUUCCCGCCACGCCUUCAGUGUUGUGGUCAUUUGUGCCUGCGCACCCAGGGCUGCAGGUACCUUCCUCCUGUGUGCUUCCAGGACGGUUAUUCAGGAUGCUGAGACGAGCCGCCAGCUCACACAGAACUGGGGUGUGACCUCAGCACCUGCUGCCUGUGUUCCUGAGGCUGUCCGCCAAGGCGCUCAGGAAACGCACAUGCCUCCUGAGCCUCAUAUGCACACCUCGUGGACGGCAGCCUGCAGGACCACUGGCAAGUUUUGUUGCCAAAAUCCCUCUUCGAGGAAAAAAAGUCAAUUGUUGACAAUUAGAUAUUAUGAUCACAUAACUCACUUCAAUCAGUCAUCUAAAAACAAACGGCUGAUACCACUGAGUCUCAAGGAAGCAGCCACAGGGGCCACAUCAGGCUCAUCCCACUUGGAAACCGCCCCUGAAGACAGCAGCCCCGAGCGCCACAGCUGACCCUGACAGAGGAGAGGCCUCCGGGGCAGGGGCUCCACCUUGACGCAUUCACACUUCACAGUGGAAAGGGGCCUUCUCCACAAGAAGCUGUGUGAAAAUGUUAGCAACUGCUGCCGGGCGCGGUGGCUCACGCCUGUCAUCCCAGCACUUCGGGAGGCUGAGGCGGGUGCAUCACCUGAGGUCGGGAGUCUGAGACAAGCCUGACCAACAUGCAGAAACCCCAUCUUUACUAAAAAUACAAAAAAUCAGCCAGGUGUGGUGACGCAUGCCUGUAAUCCCAGCUACUCGGGAAGCUAAGGCAACAGAAUGGCUUGAACCCGGGAGGCGGAGGUUGCGGUGAGCUGAGAUCGCGCCACUGCACUCCAGGCUGGGCAACAAGAGCGAAAUUCCGUCUCAAAAAAAGAAAAAAAAAAUGUUAGCAACUGCUUUUUUUCUAGUUUUCUAGUUCUAGUUAGCAACCGUGAAGUAACUGUACCUUCACAUGUAGUUGUAAGAAAUGGCACAGAGCAGGCUGGGCGCAGUGGCUCACACCUGUAAUCCCAGCACUUUGUGGGGACCGAGGCAGGCAGAUGAUGAGGUCAGGAGUUCGAGACCAGCCUGACCAACAUACUGAAACCCCAUCUCUACUAAAAACAAACAAAAUUAGCUGGGUGUGGUGGCACGCGCCUGUAAUCCCAGCUACUCAGGAGGCUGAGGCAGGAGAAUCGCUUGAACCCGGGAGGUGGAGGUUGCAGUGAGCAGAGAUCGAGCCACUGCACUCCAUCCUGGGUGACAGAGCCAGACCCCAUCUCAAAAAAAAAUAAAUAAAUAAAAAUAAAUGACGCAGAGCAAUACCUUGUCCCCCUGCUUCCAGGGGUUCCAUCUCACAAAACUAUGAACAGUAUCACAGCCAGGCUCUCCCACCACGACGGUCCACCAAGCUCCCCGGGGUCAUCCCAUGACACACGCGCAGUGUGUGCCCACCGCAGCUGAGGCAAUCCAACCACAGGCUCCCUCCGGCUGUCUCCUUCCCCCAUCCUUAACCCCUAGCAACCACGAAUCUGUGUUCCAUCUCUUUAAUUUUUGUCUUUAGAGAAUGCUGUAUAAAAAAAAAAUCAUACGGCAUGUGAUCUUUCAGCUCGGCCUUUUUUCACUCCGUAUAAUUCCUUCUGGGUUCACCCGCGUUAUCAGUGAGCGGGGCCUUUUUUCCACUCCGUGUAAUUCCUUCUGGGUUCACCCGCGUUAUCAGUGAGCGGAGUCUUUUUUCCACUCUGUGUAAUUCCUUCUGGGUUCACCCGCCUUACCAGUGAGCAGGGUCUUUUUUCACUCCGUGUAAUUCCUUCCAGGUUCACCCGCGUUAUCAGUGAGCGGAGCCUUUUUUCACUCCGUAUAAUUCCUUCCAGGUUCAUUCGAAGCAAACUAUAGUUCAACCCAAAACAGAAUAAACAUAAAACAAUCACUUGGCCGGGCGUGGUGGCUCACGCCUAUAAUCCCAGCACUUUGGGAGGCCGAGGUGGGCAGACCACAACGUCAGGAGAUCGAGAUCAUCCUAGCUCACAUGGUGAAACUCCGUCUCUACUAAAAACACAAAAAAUUAGCCGGGCAUGGUUGCGGGCACCUUUAGUCCCAGUUACUCGGGAGGCUGAGGCAGGAGAACUGCUUGAACCCACGAGGUGGAGUUUGCAAUGAGCCGAGAUCGUGGCAUUGCACUCCAACUUCGGCAACAAGAGCGAAGCUCCAUCU
RNAcentral lists this long non-coding RNA (4148 nucleotides) under Homo sapiens (human). RNAcentral describes it as "long non-coding RNA NONHSAT174220.1". The record is from RNAcentral. Lineage: Eukaryota; Metazoa; Chordata; Mammalia; Primates; Hominidae.